Non-coding RNA from Elaeis guineensis (African oil palm), 2520 nucleotides. Lineage: Eukaryota; Viridiplantae; Streptophyta; Magnoliopsida; Arecales; Arecaceae. The record is from RefSeq and is a predicted model, not a curated record.
UACACAAGAAAGCACGCAAGCGCAACAAUUAUCCAGUAGGCUGGGGACUGAAGAAAAUUACCAACCGCCUUGCCAAAUAAUAAUAGUAAGCGGCAGGUUUUAGGUUAAAGGACGCCAAGGGGCUGCGGCGUUAUCCUCGCUCGCUCCCUGCCCCCCUUCUCCGUGACGUCCAACUCCUCUUGCUCGCUCUCAGUAGUCUUUUCGCUACCCGAAGGCACCGAGUAAGAAGGGUGCGCGAGAGAGAGAGGAAGAGAGAGACGGGCCAUGUCGUCGUCGACCAACAUAUGGGUUCUCCUCGGGCUGGGCCUCGCUGGCGUCCUUCUCAUGACCCGGCGGCUGAAGCGAGCCAUCAAGCAGGAUUUCGGGGCUUUCGUCGAGCGGUUGGAGCUCCUCCCUCCCCCUCAGCCCGCCCCUCCCAAGGCCCCCCAUCCUUUGACCGGCCUCUCCUUCGCCGUCGCCGACAUAUUCGAUAUCAAUGGAUGUGUAACUGGGUUCGGCAAUCCAGACUGGGCAAAAACUCAUGAUCCUGCAGCACGGACAUCUUCUGUGGUUUCAGCUCUCGUAGAUGGGGGUGCUACUUGUGUUGGAAAAACGGUGAUUGAUGAGAUGGCUUAUAGUAUCAAUGGUGAAAACAAACAUUUUGGUACACCAACAAAUCCUGCAGCUCUUGAGCGAAUACCUGGAGGAUGCUCGAGUGGAUCAGCUGUAGCUGUUGCUAGUGGUCUAGUUGAUUUCUCCUUGGGUGUUGAUACUAUUGGUGGUGUGAGGAUACCUGGGGGAUUUUGUGGUAUAUUAGCAUUCCGACCUUCACAUGCUGCUGUUUCAAAUAUUGGUGUUAUUCCGGUCUCACCAAGUCUUGACACUGUAGGAUUAUUUGCUAAGGAUCCCAGUAUCUUGCGUCGUGUAUCUCAUAUCCUGCUUCAACUUCCAUAUGCUGAUCACCGCCAGCCUAGACAUAUGAUUAUAGCAGAUGAUUGUUUUGAACUAUUAAAGAUUCCAAAGAGCAGGGUGACUCAGGUGGUGAUCAAAUCUACAGAGAAGCUGUUUGGAAGGCAACUUUUAAACCAUGUAAAUUUAGGAGAGUAUCUGGCUUCUAAGAUUUCCAGCUUGAAACAACUUCAAAAUGGGAAGAAAAGUGGUGAUUCAAAGGCUGCAUUAUUAUCACUUGCAAAUGCUAUGCGGCUGCUUUACAAGCGUGAGUUCAAAAAUAAUCAUGAGAGGUGGAUCAACUCUGUUAAGCCUGUCCUUGAUCCUUCUAUAUUAGCAGACAUUAGUAGCUCAUUGGAUGAUAGUGAUGCACAUAUUGAAUACUGCCACUAUGCAAGAAAUGAAACACGCUUGGCCCUUAAUGCUCUUCUAAAGGAUGAUGGAAUAAUUGUUCUUCCCACAGUAUUAGGAGCUCCUCCAAAACUUAAUGCAAAGGAAAUUUCAUCAGAGGACUACCAGUCUCAUACAUUAUGUCUAUCGGCUAUUGCUAGCAUGUCAGGUUGUUGUCAGGUGACCAUACCUAUAGGGUACCAUGAAAAGUGUCCUGUGUCUGUAUCCUUUAUUGCAAGGCAUGGAGGAGAUCGCUUUUUACUAGAUACUGUCCAGACUAUGUUUGCCUCUCUUCAAGAGCAAGUUGAUGAAGUUAUGAAGUCCAAAUCGUCAAGCAGUAGCAUCAGCAAGGAAGAAUCUGCGGAAAUUGCAAAAGAGAAAGGUAACAUUGCUUACAAAGAAAAACAAUGGCAGAAAGCUGUUAAUCUGUAUACUGAAGCAAUCAAACUGAGUGAAAAGAAUGCAACAUAUUAUAGCAAUAGGGCUGCUGCAUAUCUGGAACUUGGAAGUUACCUUCAAGCUGAAGCUGAUUGCAGCGCUGCCAUAAGCCUUGAUAAAAAGCAUAUCAGGGUGAUUAGAGUUCAAAUUCAUGCCAUGAUUAUACUGUGAUUCUUCUGUAGAGUGAGCUUCGGCUAAUGAAAGAAUGUCAAAGCUUAUUUGCGAAGAGGUACUGCACGUGAAAUGUUGGGCUAUUACAAAGAGGCAAUUGAAGAUUUCAAAUAUGCACUUGUCUUGGAGCCAACCAACAAGACGGCACUCCUUGCCGCUAGUAGAUUAAAGAAGCUAUUCCAGUAGAUAGCACACUAGCAAUUUGUCGAAGGUGCAAAUCACCUGUUCAAUAUUUCAUCUUCGAAGAUGGUAGAUUCGACCCGUAUAGAUACAUUUUGAAGAUUUGGGCAGCACCUCAUAAGAGUACCGAUCACUAGAAUUUGCAGGCGUCCCGAUUGCUCACCAUCUGUCACGCUGAAGUUCUCAACUUGUUUACAGAAUCAAUGGUUCUUAAUAUUGCCCCUUCGUAGUAUAAGACUAUGCUUAGUCCAGUUUUGUUACGCACCUUAUAUCAAAUAUCAGAUGUCGUUUUCAUUUUACCGUAUAUGCCCGCUAUUUUUUUUUUUGAAUUGUACUAUAAGAUGAUCAUUUAUUGCACUGAUGGGGAGUGGUAUUUUGGAAUAAAAUUACAUAGUUUGGGAGGUGUGCUAUCAA